AUCAAAUUAGAGCUUGAUAGGAAGCAUUUCAUUUACACUGAAAAUAUUUACUGUGCAAUUCAGUUUAAUUUGAU
RNAcentral lists this transfer RNA (74 nucleotides) under Stylurus amnicola. RNAcentral describes it as "tRNA-Val". The record is from RNAcentral. Lineage: Eukaryota; Metazoa; Arthropoda; Insecta; Odonata; Gomphidae.